RNAcentral lists this ribosomal RNA (251 nucleotides) under uncultured bacterium. RNAcentral describes it as "partial 16S ribosomal RNA". It matches the Rfam family "Bacterial small subunit ribosomal RNA", at positions 524 to 772 of the family's 1533-position model. The record is from RNAcentral.
UACAGAGGUCCCAAGCGUUUGUUCGGAUUCACUGGGCGUAAAGGGUGCGUAGGUGGUGAGGUAAGUCGGAUGUGAAAUCUCCGGGCUCAACCCGGAAAUGGCAUUGGAAACUACCUUGCUAGAGGAUUUGAGGGGGGGAUUGGAAUACUUGGUGUAGCAGUGAAAUGCGUAGAUAUCAAGUGGAACACCAGUGGCGAAGGCGAAUCCCUGGAAAAUACCUGACACUGAGGCACGAAAGCUAGGGGAGCAAA